GAUGAACGCUGACAGAAUGCUUAACACAUGCAAGUCUACUUGAACUUCGGUUUGGGUGGCGGACGGGUGAGUAACGCGUAAAGAACUUGCCUCACAGAUAGGGACAACAUUUGGAAACGAAUGCUAAUACCUGAUAUUAUGAUUUUAGGGCAUCCUAGAAUUAUGAAAGCUAUAUGCACUGUGAGAGAGCUUUGCGUCCCAUUAGCUAGUUGGAGAGGUAACGGCUCACCAAGGCGAUGAUGGGUAGCCGGCCUGAGAGGGUGAUCGGCCACAAGGGGACUGAGACACGGCCCUUACUCCUACGGGAGGCAGCAGUGGGGAAUAUUGGACAAUGGACCAAGAGUCUGAUCCAGCAAUUCUGUGUGCACGAUGAAGUUUUUCGGAAUGUAAAGUGCUUUCAGUUGGGAAGAAAAAAUGACGGUACCAACAGAAGAAGUGACGGCUAAAUACGUG
This 453-nucleotide ribosomal RNA is filed under the name uncultured bacterium. Its description in RNAcentral is "partial 16S ribosomal RNA". It matches the Rfam family "Bacterial small subunit ribosomal RNA", at positions 28 to 507 of the family's 1533-position model. The record is from RNAcentral.